Molecule: long non-coding RNA, 732 nt
Filed under: Androctonus crassicauda
Lineage: Eukaryota; Metazoa; Arthropoda; Arachnida; Scorpiones; Buthidae
Source: RNAcentral
CUAAUAUUUGUGUAAAUGAAGUAAGAACAGGUUACUAAAUAUGAAAUAUUAAUAAAAAUAACAAUAUUUCAAUUAAUUCAUGUACUUUUUUUCAUAAUUAUAUGAUAUGUUUCCAUUCUUUUCAGAAUUUAUCAAAGAUAACAAUAUAGAUUUUUCAUUAUUUAAAAACAUCAUUUCCUGUCAUACAAUAAAACUGAAAGAAAAUUUUUCAAAAUGUUUUGAAAAAUUUCCAGAUAAAGAAAUAAAUUGGUUCAUGAUCCAUUUUCAUUUGAUAUUUUUAAUUCUAGCAUCCCUUCAAAUGAAAAAACAAAUUGAUUUUUUGAAUGAUGAAAUAUUGUGCAUUCAAUUUAAAUCAUUGACUUGUCAAAAAUUUUGACUGUUGUUGGAAAUGAUUAUUCUGAAUUGAAGAAAAAGACAAUCAAAGUUGCCUUUUUCUUCAGUUCAGAAUUAGUUAAAUUCAUAUAAUGUCAAAAUUAAUUGUUAUUAAGAUGAAAUAUCAACCAUAAUUUUCAAGUUCAAAACUGUCCUAAAGCAGGGAACAAAAUCAUGAUGAAUUGCCAUCAUGACUAGAUCUAGAAAAUGAUUUACAGCUCAAAAUUUCCAAUAUAAUAUCGAAUAUAGAAGCUUUUAUGAGCUCUAUGAAAGUGCUUGUUUCACAUUAUUAUUAAAUUAAAUUUAUUUAUAUUAAAUAUGUUAAAAAUCUUUUUUCAUUUAAAAAUUUUUUGUCUGUAC